GCGGCAGUAGCUCAGUGGGAGAGCUCCCGCUUCGCAUGCGGGGACACCUACGUUCGAUUCUCGGCUGCUUCC
Transfer RNA from Toxocara canis (dog roundworm), 72 nucleotides. It matches the Rfam family "tRNA". Rfam says of the family: Transfer RNA (tRNA) molecules are approximately 80 nucleotides in length. Their secondary structure includes four short double-helical elements and three loops (D, anti-codon, and T loops). NCBI's taxonomy places the organism in Eukaryota, Metazoa, Nematoda, Chromadorea, Rhabditida, Toxocaridae. The record is from Rfam.